GAUGAACGCUGGCGGCGUGCCUAAUACAUGCAAGUCGAGCGAACGGACGAGAAGCUUGCUUCUCUGAUGUUAGCGGCGGACGGGUGAGUAACACGUGCAUCACCUACCUAUAAGACUGGGAUCACUUCGGGAAACCGGAGCUAAUACCGGAUAAUAUUUUGAACCGCAUGGUUCAAAAGUGAUAGACGGUCUUGCUGUCACUUCUAGAUGUAUCCGCGCUGCAUUAGCUAGUUGGUAAGGUAACGGCUUACCAAGGCAACGAUGCAUAGCCGACCUGAGAGGGUGAUCGGCCACACUGGAACUGAGACACGGUCCAGACUCCUACGGGAGGCAGCAGUAGGGAAUAGUCCGCAAUGGGCGAAAGCCUGACGGAGCAACGCCGCGUGAGUGAUGAAGGUCUUCGGAUUGUAAAACUCUGUUAUUAGGAAAGAACAUAUGUGUAAGUAACUGUGCACAUCUGGAGGGAACCUAAGAAGAAAGCCACGGCAAACUACGU
This 496-nucleotide ribosomal RNA is filed under the name uncultured bacterium. Its description in RNAcentral is "partial 16S ribosomal RNA". It matches the Rfam family "Bacterial small subunit ribosomal RNA", at positions 28 to 506 of the family's 1533-position model. The record is from RNAcentral.